Molecule: ribosomal RNA, 253 nt
Filed under: uncultured bacterium
Lineage: Bacteria
Description: partial 16S ribosomal RNA
Rfam family: Bacterial small subunit ribosomal RNA
Source: RNAcentral
UACGAAGGGGGCUAGCGUUGUUCGGAAUUACUGGGCGUAAAGGGCGCGUAGGCGGCUAGUUUAGUCAGAGGUGAAAGCCCAGGGCUCAACCUUGGAAUUGCCUUUGAUACUGGCUAUCUUGAGUUCGGGAGAGGUGAGUGGAAUGCCGAGUGUAGAGGUGAAAUUCGUAGAUAUUCGGCGGAACACCAGUGGCGAAGGCGACUCACUGGCCCGAUACUGACGCUGAGGCGCGAAAGCGUGGGGAGCAAACAGG